CUCUCUCUCUCUCGCAGACCGGCACCGGCUAGCGGCUGAAAACCGGGCACCCUCCGCGGACACGGAACCUGACAGGAGCGUGGAAGAAGGAAUAAUGGGUCAUGAUGAACUUCACCAUGUUGCUGUUUUAUUUCCUGAUGUUUCCACUUCCUCACUCUGGCCCAUCAAAGUUUUUCCCCCGCCAGGUCGAGCGCCCCCAUUGGCUGGACUGUCCCAACAUGGCAGAGCCUGAUUGGCUGCUUCCGGACAGCACCGGUGGCUUUUGAAGAAGCUCAGCGCGGGAAAUAAAGUGACGUUUGCCAUGA
Hippoglossus stenolepis (Pacific halibut) is the source of this 305-nucleotide long non-coding RNA. RefSeq lists it as uncharacterized. NCBI's taxonomy places the organism in Eukaryota, Metazoa, Chordata, Actinopteri, Pleuronectiformes, Pleuronectidae. The record is from RefSeq and is a predicted model, not a curated record. The transcript is spliced from 2 exons.